Molecule: unclassified non-coding RNA, 21 nt
Filed under: Mus musculus (house mouse)
Lineage: Eukaryota; Metazoa; Chordata; Mammalia; Rodentia; Muridae
Description: oocyte_clustered_small_RNA10000
Source: RNAcentral
GGUGGCCCGGAGUUUGCUGGA